GACGAACGCUGGCGGCGUGCUUAACACAUGCAAGUCGAACGGAAAGGCCCCCUUGUGGGGUACUCGCGUGGCGAACGGGUGAGUAACACGUGAGUAACCUACCCUUGACUUUGGGAUAACUUCAGGAAACUGGGGCUAAUACCGGAUAGGAGCUCCUGCUGCAUGGUGGGGGUUGGAAAGUUUCGGCGGUUGGGGAUGGACUCGCGGCUUAUCAGCUUGUUGGUGGGGUAGUGGCUCACCAAGGCUUUGACGGGUAGCCGGCCUGGGAGGGUGACCGGCCACAUUGGGACUGAGAUACGGCCCAGACUCCUACGGGAGGCAGCAGGGGGGAAUAUUGCACAAUGGGCGGGAGCCUGAUGCAGCAACGCCGCGUGCGGGAUGACGGCCUUCGGGUUGUAAACCGCUUUCGCCUGUGACGAAGCGUGAGUGACGGUAAUGGGUAAAGAAGCACCGGCUAACUACGUG
Molecule: ribosomal RNA, 465 nt
Filed under: uncultured bacterium
Lineage: Bacteria
Description: partial 16S ribosomal RNA
Rfam family: Bacterial small subunit ribosomal RNA
Source: RNAcentral